RNAcentral lists this ribosomal RNA (878 nucleotides) under uncultured bacterium. RNAcentral describes it as "bacterial SSU rRNA". It matches the Rfam family "Bacterial small subunit ribosomal RNA", at positions 574 to 1452 of the family's 1533-position model. The record is from RNAcentral.
GGCGNUCAGGAAAGUCUGGAGUAAAAGGCUAUGGNUCAACCAUAGUGUGCUCUGGAAACUGUNUGACUUGAGUGCAGAAGGGGAGAGUGGAAUUCCAUGUGUAGCGGUGAAAUGCGUAGAUAUAUGGAGGAACACCAGUGGCGAAAGCGGCUCUCUGGUCUGUCACUGACGCUGAGGCUCGAAAGCGUGGGUAGCGAACAGGAUUAGAUACCCUGGUAGUCCACGCCGUAAACGAUGAGUGCUAGGUGUUAGGCCCUUUCCGGGGCUUAGUGCCGGAGCUAACGCAAUAAGCACUCCGCCUGGGGAGUACGACCGCAAGGUUGAAACUCAAAGGAAUUGACGGGGGCCCGCACAAGCGGUGGAGCAUGUGGUUUAAUUCGAAGCAACGCGAAGAACCUUACCAGGUCUUGACAUCCCGAUGCUAUUCUUAGAGAUAGGAAGUUACUUCGGUACAUCGGAGACAGGUGGUGCAUGGUUGUCGUCAGCUCGUGUCGUGAGAUGUUGGGUUAAGUCCCGCAACGAGCGCAACCCUUAUUGUUAGUUGCCAUCAUUAAGUUGGGCACUCUAGCGAGACUGCCGGUAAUAAACCGGAGGAAGGUGGGGAUGACGUCAAAUCAUCAUGCCCCUUAUGACCUGGGCUACACACGUGCUACAAUGGUCGGUACAACGAGUUGCGAGCCGAUGACGGCAAGCUAAUCUCUGAAAGCCGAUCUCAGUUCGGAUUGGAGGCUGCAACUCGCCUCCAUGAAGUCGGAAUCGCUAGUAAUCGCGGAUCAGCACGCCGCGGUGAAUACGUUCCCGGGCCUUGUACACACCGCCCGUCACACCACGAGAGUUUGUAACACCCGAAGUCGGUGAGGUAACCUUUUAGGGGCCAG